GGCGGUAGGCCUAACACAUGCAAGUCGAACGGCAGCACAGGAGAGCUUGCUCUCUGGGUGGCGAGUGGCGGACGGGUGAGGAAUACAUCGGAAUCUACUUUUUCGUGGGGGAUAACGUAGGGAAACUUACGCUAAUACCGCAUACGACCUACGGGUGAAAGCAGGGGAUCUUCGGACCUUGCGCGAUUGAAUGAGCCGAUGUCGGAUUAGCUAGUUGGCGGGGUAAAGGCCCACCAAGGCGACGAUCCGUAGCUGGUCUGAGAGGAUGAUCAGCCACACUGGAACUGAGACACGGUCCAGACUCCUACGGGAGGCAGCAGUGGGGAAUAUUGGACAAUGGGCGCAAGCCUGAUCCAGCCAUACCGCGUGGGUGAAGAAGGCCUUCGGGUUGUAAAGCCCUUUUGCUGG
This 408-nucleotide ribosomal RNA is filed under the name Stenotrophomonas maltophilia. Its description in RNAcentral is "bacterial SSU rRNA". It matches the Rfam family "Bacterial small subunit ribosomal RNA", at positions 38 to 442 of the family's 1533-position model. The record is from RNAcentral. Lineage: Bacteria; Pseudomonadati; Pseudomonadota; Gammaproteobacteria; Lysobacterales; Lysobacteraceae.